AGCGGUAAGGCCUCUUCGGGGGUACACGAGCGGCGAACGGGUGAGUAACACGUGAGUAAUCUGCCCUUCACUUCGGGAUAAGCUUCGGAAACGGGGUCUAAUACCGGAUACGACACUUUCAGGCAUCUGAUGAGUGUGGAAAGUUUUUUCGGUGGGGGAUGUGCUCGCGGCCUAUCAGCUUGUUGGUGGGGUAAUGGCCUACCAAGGCUUCGACGGGUAGCCGGCCUGAGAGGGUGACCGGCCACACUGGGACUGAGACACGGCCCAGACUCCUACGGGAGGCAGCAGUGGGGAAUAUUGGACAAUGGGCGGAAGCCUGAUCCAGCAACGCCGCGUGAGGGAUGACGGCCUUCGGGUUGUAAACCUCUUUCAGUACCGACGAAGCGAGAGUGACGGUAGGUACAGAAGAAGCACUGGCCAACUACGUGCCAGCAGCCGCGGUAAUACGUAGGGUGCGAGCGUUGUCCGGAAUUAUUGGGCGUAAAGGGCUCGUAGGCGGUUUGUCGCGUCGGGAGUGAAAACACCGGGCUUAACUCGGUGCUUGCUUUCGAUACGGGCAGACUAGAGGUAUGCAGGGGAGAACGGAAUUCCUGGUGUAGCGGUGAAAUGCGCAGAUAUCAGGAGGAACACCGGUGGCGAAGGCGGUUCUCUGGGCAUUACCUGACGCUGAGGAGCGAAAGU
RNAcentral lists this ribosomal RNA (681 nucleotides) under Nocardioides kribbensis. RNAcentral describes it as "bacterial SSU rRNA". It matches the Rfam family "Bacterial small subunit ribosomal RNA", at positions 65 to 760 of the family's 1533-position model. Lineage: Bacteria; Bacillati; Actinomycetota; Actinomycetes; Propionibacteriales; Nocardioidaceae. The record is from RNAcentral.